Molecule: ribosomal RNA, 467 nt
Filed under: uncultured bacterium
Lineage: Bacteria
Description: partial 16S ribosomal RNA
Rfam family: Bacterial small subunit ribosomal RNA
Source: RNAcentral
GACGAACGCUGGCGGCGUGCUUAACACAUGCAAGUCGAACGGAAAGGCCCUGCUUUUGUGGGGUGCUCGAGUGGCGAACGGGUGAGUAACACGUGAGUAACCUGCCCUUGACUUUGGGAUAACUUCAGGAACUGGGGCUAAUACCGGAUAGGAGCUCCUGCUGCAUGGGGGGGGUUGGAAAGUUUCGGCGGUUGGGGAUGGACUCGCGGCUUAUCAGCUUGUUGGUGGGGUAGUGGCUUACCAAGGCUUUGACGGGUAGCCGGCCUGGGAGGGUGACCGGCCACCUUGGGCCUGAGAUACGGCGCAGACUCCUACGGGAGGCAGCAGUGGGGAAUCUUGCACAAUGGGCGGAAGCCUGAUGCAGCAACGCCGCGUGCGGGAUGACGGCCUUCGGGUUGUAAACCGCUUUCGCCUGUGACGAAGCGUGAGUGACGGUAAUGGGUAAAGAAGCACCGGCUAACUACGUG